UCUUGGAUGCCCUGUUGGGACCGGAGCCCAGCAGCUCGGCGCCCCAUGGCACGGGACCCCCUGAGGAGGAGGGUCUCAUCUGGGAUCCCUCCGAGACCUCCAUGAUGUUGCUGCCGCCACGGGGGGCUGGCAGCCUGGGGGGGACGGUCAACUUGAUCCUGAGCAUCAGCAAGAAGGGAGAGAAGAAGCAGCCACAGCUGGUGUUGAGCGGAGAACGGCCCGGGGAGGAGGCUCCGCAGAUGGCCUGCGCCUCUUUGCAUAUGGAGGAGUGCUAUGGAGAAGGGGCCUGGAAAACCUCUGCCGUGGUGCAGCCAGCAAAGCAAGCACCUGCCGCAGUGUGCCGCCCUCUGGCAUCAAGCGCCGUGGCCGCUGUGGCCUCCCACACCCUGCCCAAGGCCGGCCCCAGCUCCAUCUUCAACAGCCUGCAGAGGAAGGAGAAGGUGAAGGCUGAGCAUGCGCGGCUGCUGACGCUGCAGGGCGUCAUGGGCCCCAGCUCCCUGCAGCCCCUGCCCGAGGAGAGGCAUGGCCCCAGCAACACGUGGCCUUUGAAGUGCGGCUGGAGGAAGGCGGCCCCGGGGACGCCUGGCCCCCAGCUCGAGGAGCUGCUGCUCUACGUGAAGAACCCGCUGGUGCGGGACAUUGACGCAGAGUGCGGGGCUGCCCCCGGGGACCCCAAACCCAGCCUCCCCCACCAUGGCGGGGGGCCCAGUGCCGUGCAGCCCACUGCCGGGCCAAAAAACACCUGCCCCCACCUCUCGCUUGGGUCUGUCCUCAGCCUGGAGCUGCCCAAGGACUUGGCCGUCCUGGGCUGCCUCCGAGGCACCGCGGUGGUGGCACGGCAGGAGGAGGCAGAGGGGAAGGAGAAGAGGCAGGGCAGGGGGGCAAAGUGGUUGGAGGCUGCAGGAGCAAGCGGGCCUGGACAGCAGAAGGAGGAUGUGCAUGGACACAGUCCCCAGGGGCCAGGCGAAGGCCUGGGGAAGCCCCCCAAGGGCGAGCGAGGAACAUGGUUCGAAGAGGUGAGCUUCAACCCUAGCUACAGCCGGCAGAAAGCACGGGGCUUGGAAGUGGCCUGCCGCACCAUGGAGGAGCGGAAGAGCCCCGGCAGCGCCGAUGAAGAUUUGCUGGACUUCAGGCUGAACCGACUGUCCCGCAUCAGCGUGCUGCACAAGCAGGUCGGCCAGGAGUGGGACGAGCUGGCAGCCAGGCUGGGCCGGGAUGGCAGCUCCGGCACUGCGGGAGCUGAGAGAGCAGCCGGCUGCAAGGCCAGGCUGCGGGAAGCUGCUUGCGUUGAGCUCAGGUCCUCUCCCACCGCCCUGGCCACCAGGGCGGGUGCUGCCACUGGCAUUGCCCGGCCGGAGCGGCCCGCCGGCAGCGGGAAGUCCGGCGAGGAAGUCCUGGCGGGACUGUCCGGCGGGGGCCCGGACUCCCCUCCUGCCACCAACCAGGGCCCCCGAGCCACCCCCCAGCUCUCCAUGUUCGCCUGUGAGCUGGGCUGCCGGCAGCGCAGCCCUGAGACCAUGGGCCCGGCGGAGAUCUGCCACCCGGCCCACAGGCUGUUUGAGGAGGAGGAGGAGGAGCUGCAGGCCAUCUGGGACCAAGCAAAAGAGCAGACGGUGCCGAGCCCACGGGCAGAGAGCGGCGCCCGACCCAUGCCGGUCAGCG
This is a long non-coding RNA of Apteryx owenii (little spotted kiwi), 1662 nucleotides long. The record is from Ensembl. NCBI's taxonomy places the organism in Eukaryota, Metazoa, Chordata, Aves, Apterygiformes, Apterygidae.